RNAcentral lists this ribosomal RNA (400 nucleotides) under uncultured bacterium. Its description in RNAcentral is "bacterial SSU rRNA". It matches the Rfam family "Bacterial small subunit ribosomal RNA", at positions 28 to 423 of the family's 1533-position model. The record is from RNAcentral.
GAUGAACGCUAGCGGCAGGCCUAAUACAUGCAAGUCGAACGGAUAUAUGUUUUCGGAAUAUAUAUUAGUGGCGCACGGGUGAGUAACACGUACAUAACUUGCCCUCAAGGCGGGGGAUAGCCUUGGGAAACUGAGAGUAACUACCCCAUAGAAUUAUUGGACGGCAUCGUUUGAUAAUUAAAACUACGGUGUUUGGGAUAGAUGUGCGUCUGAUUAGCUAGUUGGUGAGGUAACUGCUCACCAAGGCGACGAUCAGGUAGGGGGCGUGAGAGCGUCGGCCCCCCACACGGGUACUGAGACACGGACCCGACUCCUACGGGAGGCAGCAGUAAGGAAUAUUGGUCAAUGGGAGGGAACUCUGAACCAGCCAUGCCGCGUGAAGGAAGAAGGCCCUAUGGGU